Molecule: long non-coding RNA, 789 nt
Filed under: Ananas comosus (pineapple)
Lineage: Eukaryota; Viridiplantae; Streptophyta; Magnoliopsida; Poales; Bromeliaceae
Description: long non-coding RNA (ACOM_LNC011283)
Source: RNAcentral
AUUUGCAGGAGAGAAAAAUAAUUUGAAGCUAAAAUGUAGGUAGUUCCCCUGCUAAUUAACCUUAAGGGUACGUUUGGUUCGCAUUAUAAAAGAUUACUAAGAAUAAAAGAUAUUCGAGAAUCUUAUUUCUAUUAAUCCUAUUACUAAGAAUGUGGAAUUCCUGUGUUUGGUUCGUACGGUAAUAUUAAUUAGCCAUGUUAUUUAAUAUUACAAAAAAUAUACAAUUAAUUAAUUAAUUAAUUUAAUUAAUUUUAGAUAAUGUUACCAAAAGUUUCAACAUUUUUUAGAAAAAAGGGAGAGAGAGUAUAAGUUAGAGAGAGAGAGCAUAAUUAAAAAAAUAGAAAGAAAAAUAUAGUCGAAAUUAGAGAGAGUGAGAGAGUUGAAAUUUUAGAAAGAGAGAGAGAGAGAGAAAGCUUAGUUUAGAGAGAGAAAAAAAAAGUUAAAUUUUAGAGAGAAAAAUAAGUUUAGAGAGAGAUAUAAGGUUAGAGUGUAAAGAAAAAUAAUAUCAAUUAGCCGGCGGAUAGGAAGAAAGAAAGAGAUUAGACAUAUUAUGAUUACCCCAAUCCAUUAAUAUGAGGAUACCCACCCUCCCUCGAGGGAAUGAGAUUAGUACUUUGGGGUGAAUCUUAUUCCCAAGUGAAUUCAAUAUUACCAACUAGAUUACUUAGCGCGUUUAGCCAAACACCGUCAUAUUUUUUUAUUCCCAUUGGAUUACUAAGAAUCUUUAAAAGAUAGCGCGAACCUAACGCACCCUAAAAAUAUAGGUAAUUUCCCUGCUAUUUAACCUUU